CCGGAGCUAACGCGUUAAGUAGACCGCCUGGGGAGUACGGCCGCAAGGUUAAAACUCAAAUGAAUUGACGGGGGCCCGCACAAGCGGUGGAGCAUGUGGUUUAAUUCGAUGCAACGCGAAGAACCUUACCUGGUCUUGACAUCCACAGAACUUUCCAGAGAUGGAUUGGUGCCUUCGGGAACUGUGAGACAGGUGCUGCAUGGCUGUCGUCAGCUCGUGUUGUGAAAUGUUGGGUUAAGUCCCGCAACGAGCGCAACCCUUAUCCUUUGUUGCCAGCGAUUAGGUCGGGAACUCAAAGGAGACUGCCAGUGAUAAACUGGAGGAAGGUGGGGAUGACGUCAAGUCAUCAUGGCCCUUACGACCAGGGCUACACACGUGCUACAAUGGCGCAUACAAAGAGAAGCGACCUCGCGAGAGCAAGCGGACCUCAUAAAGUGCGUCGUAGUCCGGAUUGGAGUCUGCAACUCGACUCCAUGAAGUCGGAAUCGCUAGUAAUCGUGGAUCAGAAUGCCACGGUGAAUACGUUCCCGGGCCUUGUACACACCGCCCGUCACACCAUGGGAGUGGGUUGCAAAAGAAGUAGGUAGCUUAACCUUCGGGAGGGCGCUUACCACUUUGUGAUUCAUGACUGGGGUGAAGUCGUAACAAGGUAACCGUAGGGGAACCUGCGGUUGGA
This 676-nucleotide ribosomal RNA is filed under the name Salmonella enterica. Its description in RNAcentral is "bacterial SSU rRNA". It matches the Rfam family "Bacterial small subunit ribosomal RNA", at positions 846 to 1522 of the family's 1533-position model. The record is from RNAcentral. Lineage: Bacteria; Pseudomonadati; Pseudomonadota; Gammaproteobacteria; Enterobacterales; Enterobacteriaceae. RNAcentral also lists the same sequence under 1 other name.